UACGUAGGUGGCAAGCGUUGUCCGGAUUUACUGGGCGUAAAGAGCGCGCAGGCGGUCGUUCAAGUCGCGUGUGAAAGCCCCCGGCUCAACUGGGGAGGGUCACGCGAUACUGAUCGACUCGAAGGCAGGAGAGGGUAGUGGAAUUCCCGGUGUAGUGGUGAAAUGCGUAGAUAUCGGGAGGAACACCAGUGGCGAAGGCGACUACCUGGCCUGUUCUUGACGCUGAGGCGCGAAAGCUAGGGGAGCAAACGGGA
RNAcentral lists this ribosomal RNA (254 nucleotides) under uncultured prokaryote. Its description in RNAcentral is "partial 16S ribosomal RNA". It matches the Rfam family "Bacterial small subunit ribosomal RNA", at positions 524 to 777 of the family's 1533-position model. The record is from RNAcentral.